GACGAACGCUGGCGGCGUGCUUAACACAUGCAAGUCGAACGGUAAGGCCCUGCUUUUGUCUGGUGCUCGAGUGGCGAACGGGUGAGUAACACGUGAGUAACCUGCCCUUGACUUUGGGAUAACUUCAGGAAACUGGGGCUAAUACCGGAUAGGAGCUCCUGCUGCAUGUUCGGGGGUGGAAAGGUUCGGCGGUUGGGGAUGGGCUCGCGGCUUAUCAGCUUGUUGGUGGGGUAGUGGCUUACCAAGGCUUUGACGGGUAGCCGGCCUGAGAGGGUGACCGGCCACACUGGGACUGAGAUACGGCCCAGACUCCUACGGGAGGCAGCAGUGGGGAAUAUUGCACAAUGGGCGGAAGCCUGAUGCAGCAACGCCGCGUGCGGGAUGACGGCCUUCGGGUUGUAAACCGCUUUCGCCUGUGACGAAGCGUGAGUGACGGUAAUGGGUAAAGAAGCACCGGCUAACUACGUG
This 468-nucleotide ribosomal RNA is filed under the name uncultured bacterium. Its description in RNAcentral is "partial 16S ribosomal RNA". It matches the Rfam family "Bacterial small subunit ribosomal RNA", at positions 28 to 507 of the family's 1533-position model. The record is from RNAcentral.